RNAcentral lists this ribosomal RNA (468 nucleotides) under uncultured bacterium. RNAcentral describes it as "partial 16S ribosomal RNA". It matches the Rfam family "Bacterial small subunit ribosomal RNA", at positions 28 to 507 of the family's 1533-position model. The record is from RNAcentral.
GACGAACGCUGGCGGCGUGCUUAACACAUGCAAGUCGAACGGUGAAGCCCCACCUUGCUGGAGUGGACCAGUGGCGAACGGGUGAGUAACACGUGAGUAACCUGCCCCUGACUUUGGAAUAAGUUCUGGAAACGGCGUCUAAUACUGGAUACGAGCAGGGUCUGCAUGGUCACGUUCUGGAAAGUUCGUCGGUUGGGGAUGGGCUCGCGGCCUAUCAGCUUGUUGGUGAGGUAGUGGCUCACCAAGGCGUCGACGGGUAGCCGGCCUGAGAGGGCGACCGGCCACACUGGGACUGAGACACGGCCCAGACUCCUACGGGAGGCAGCAGUGGGGAAUAUUGCACAAUGGGCGGAAGCCUGAUGCAGCGACGCCGCGUGCGGGAUGACGGCCUUCGGGUUGUAAACCGCUUUCGGCAGGGAAGAAGCGAGAGUGACGGUACCUGCAGAAGAAGCACCGGCUAACUACGUG